UAAAAACUCUUCUUCUUUCAUGCUUAUGUUGGUCUCGCAAACAAGAUUAUAUUUUUCUAUUUCACAUCACAAAUCAAGUUUCCUAAAUAAAACUAACAAUCAAUAUGAAGUCUAAACUCAACAACAUAAUCAUGGAGGCAAAAACAACAUAAGAGAUGAUUCGCCGGAACCAAGCGUGGAGCUGCAACCGUGAAUUGGUCUGAACGGUGCACACGGAGGAGCGUUGUGACACGGCCGAUGCUGGAUCAGAGGUUGCUCGUGGGGCUGAGAUCGGGCCGUCGGAGCUGUCUUCUCGCGGUCGUGUGCGAUUGAGGGCGGCGCGACCUACCGGCGAGUCUUCAAAGGUAUGGUGAUGAGUGUUUGGUAAAUUUGAAGGUUAGAUGGUCAUGGUGAUGUUUUAAUGGUUUGAUUACUGUAACAAAAAAACAAAACUCAAUAAAAAUGUUAGUGAAGGAUUAUGUACAUGUAAGAAAAAGUGGUUUUUUGAUGGCAAGAUUAUUACUGUAAAACUUGUGAGAAUUGCUACAAUGAGAAAAAUUGGGUGGUGGUGAAAGUUGAUUUUUUGGCUUU
Vicia villosa (hairy vetch) is the source of this 570-nucleotide long non-coding RNA. RefSeq lists it as uncharacterized. The transcript has 2 exons. NCBI's taxonomy places the organism in Eukaryota, Viridiplantae, Streptophyta, Magnoliopsida, Fabales, Fabaceae. The record is from RefSeq and is a predicted model, not a curated record.